Molecule: ribosomal RNA, 348 nt
Filed under: uncultured bacterium
Lineage: Bacteria
Description: bacterial SSU rRNA
Rfam family: Bacterial small subunit ribosomal RNA
Source: RNAcentral
GGGCCCGCACAAGCGGUGGAGUAUGUGGUUUAAUUCGAUGCAACGCGAAGAACCUUACCAGGGUUUGACAUCCUGCGAAUCUCUUGGAAACGAGAGAGUGCCUUCGGGAACGCAGUGACAGGUGGUGCAUGGCUGUCGUCAGCUCGUGUCGUGAGAUGUUGGGUUAAGUCCCGCAACGAGCGCAACCCACGUCUUUAGUUGCCAGCAUUUAGUUGGGCACUCUAGAGAGACCGCCGGUGACAAACCGGAGGAAGGUGUGGAUGACGUCAAGUCAUCAUGCCCCUUACGUCCUGGGCUACACACGUACUACAAUGGUCGGUACAAUGGGUCGCCACCCAGCGAUGGGCG